This 586-nucleotide unclassified non-coding RNA is filed under the name Hevea brasiliensis (rubber tree). Lineage: Eukaryota; Viridiplantae; Streptophyta; Magnoliopsida; Malpighiales; Euphorbiaceae. The record is from RNAcentral.
GAGAAUAGAAGGGGGUUAUUGUUGUUGCUUAUAGCUUCAUGGUUGUUACUCUGGACUCUCUACAUGCAGUGCUAAUUGGAUGGUUUCUCGGUAUUGAUGUCUGUGGAAACUAAUCUUGGGCGCGCAGUGACACUGGAGUCUUUAGUUACCUACAUUUUUGGUGGCCGACUCUUAAAGCCUUAAAUGGCUGUGAAGCUUGCUACGCCACAUCUGUUGGAUCUCUACCAACACAACCAUGGUUAAGGCUCUAGUGUUUGGUUAUGGCACAUCUUGAUUUGCCUUGUUACUGGGUGUUGUUUCUCUCUAGUCUUGAUUGUGUUGUGACCCUACGUUCUUCCCUAUGUUGUUAAUCUCUGGUAACAAUCCUGAAGAUGGAGGCGACGGCGAUAGGUAUCGGUGUUUUUCUCCAUAGCAAGGGUUUAGGUGUUUGGACUUGGGCCUAAAAUUUUUAAUAGCCACGAGUUGUAUGUAAUUUUAAGCUGGGUUACGUUAGAUUCUAGACUUUUUAGUUUGUUGAUUUUUAGCUGAUGUAUUUGGGCUUGGCCUAUGAUUUCCAUUAAUAAACUUUUUCUAUAAUAAAUUAUAA